UGGGGAAUAUUGGACAAUGGGGGCAACCCUGAUCCAGCAAUGCCGCGUGUGUGAAGAAGGCCUUCGGGUUGUAAAGCACUUUUGUAAGUGAAGAAAGGUGCACAGUUAAUACCUGUGUAUUUGACAUUAGCUUAAGAAUAAGCACCGGCUAACUCCGUGCCAGCAGCCGCGGUAAUACGGAGGGUGCAAGCGUUAUUCGGAAUUACUGGGCGUAAAGGGUACGCAGGCGGUUAUUCAAGUCAGAUGUGAAAGCCCCGGGCUUAACCUGGGAACUGCAUUUGAAACUGGAUGACUAGAGUAUGAUAGAGGGAAGCGGAAUUUCCAGUGUAGCAGUGAAAUGCGUAGAUAUUGGAAGGAACACCGAUGGCGAAGGCAGCUUUCUGGGUCAAUACUGACGCUCAUGUACGAAAGCGUGGGUAGCAAACG
This 426-nucleotide ribosomal RNA is filed under the name uncultured Pseudomonadota bacterium. Its description in RNAcentral is "bacterial SSU rRNA". It matches the Rfam family "Bacterial small subunit ribosomal RNA", at positions 355 to 774 of the family's 1533-position model. The record is from RNAcentral. Lineage: Bacteria; Pseudomonadati; Pseudomonadota.